Molecule: ribosomal RNA, 495 nt
Filed under: uncultured bacterium
Lineage: Bacteria
Description: partial 16S ribosomal RNA
Rfam family: Bacterial small subunit ribosomal RNA
Source: RNAcentral
GACGAACGCUGGCGGCGUGCCUAAUACAUGCAAGUAGAACGCUGAAGGAGGAGCUUGCUUCUCUGGAUGAGUUGCGAACGGGUGAGUAACGCGUAGGUAACCUGCCUGGUAGCGGGGGAUAACUAUUGGAAACGAUAGCUAAUACCGCAUAAGAGUAGAUGUUGCAUGACAUUUACUUAAAAGGUGCAAUUGCAUCACUACCAGAUGGACCUGCGUUGUAUUAGCUAGUCGGUGAGGUAACGGCUCACCAAGGCAACGAUACAUAGCCGACCUGAGAGGGUGAUCGGCCACACUGGGACUGAGACACGGCCCAGACUCCUACGGGAGGCAGCAGUAGGGAAUCUUCGGCAAUGGACGGAAGUCUGACCGAGCAACGCCGCGUGAGUGAAGAAGGGUUUCGGAUCGUAAAGCUCUGUUGUAAGAGAAGAACGAGUGUGAGAGUGGAAAGUUCACACUGUGACGGUAUCUUACCAGAAAGGGACGGCUAACUACGUG